RNAcentral lists this ribosomal RNA (468 nucleotides) under uncultured bacterium. Its description in RNAcentral is "partial 16S ribosomal RNA". It matches the Rfam family "Bacterial small subunit ribosomal RNA", at positions 28 to 507 of the family's 1533-position model. The record is from RNAcentral.
GACGAACGCUGGCGGCGUGCUUAACACAUGCAAGUCGAACGGAAAGGCCCUGCUUUUGUGGGGUGCUCGAGUGGCGAACGGGUGAGUAACACGUGAGUAACCUGCCCUUGACUUUGGGAUAACUUCAGGAAACUGGGGCUAAUACCGGAUAGGAGCUCCUGCUGCAUGGUGGGGGUUGGAAAGUUUCGGCGGUUGGGGAUGGACUCGCGGCUUAUCAGCUUGUUGGUGGGGUAGUGGCUUACCAAGGCUUUGACGGGUAGCCGGCCUGAGAGGGUGACCGGCCACAUUGGGACUGAGAUACGGCCCAGACUCCUACGGGAGGUAGCAGUGGGGAAUAUUGCACAAUGGGCGGAAGCCUGAUGCAACAACGCCGCGUGCGGGAUGACGGCCUUCGGGUUGUAAACCGCUUUCGCCUGUGACGAAGCGUGAGUGACGGUAAUGGGUAAAGAAGCACCGGCUAACUACGUG